GACGAACGCUGGCGGCGUGCUUAACACAUGCAAGUCGAACGGUGAAGCGCCUUCCUUUUUGGUGGGUGUGGAUGAGUGGCGAACGGGUGAGUAACACGUGAGUAACCUGCCCCCUUCUUCUGGAUAACCGCAUGAAAGUGUGGCUAAUACGGGAUAUUCUGGGUCUGUCGCAUGAUGGGUCUGGGAAAGAUAUUGUUUCGGUGGGGGAUGGGCUCGCGGCCUAUCAGCUUGUUGGGGGGGUGAUGGCCUACCAAGGCGGUGACGGGUAGCCGGCCUGAGAGGGUGGAGGGGCCAGCUGGGAAUGAGGCACGGCCCAGACGGCUAAGGGAGGCAGCAGGGGGGAAUAUGGCACAAUGGGCGCAAGCCUGAUGCAGCGACGCCGCGUGAGGGAUGGAGGCCUUCGGGUUGUGAACCUCUUUCGCCAGUGAAGCAGGCCUGCCUCGUUUGUGGGUGGGUUGACGGUAGCUGGAUAAGAAGCGCCGGCUAACUACGUG
Molecule: ribosomal RNA, 494 nt
Filed under: uncultured bacterium
Lineage: Bacteria
Description: partial 16S ribosomal RNA
Rfam family: Bacterial small subunit ribosomal RNA
Source: RNAcentral